CACAUGGCUGCAGUACAGGGUCCUGGAGGACCUCCCCAUUUGGAGUCCUCCUCUGAGGACUCAGGGAGAAGAUGAUCCAAUUUCCCAGUUGGAUAACUGGAUUUUCCUUCGGCCAAGUGUAUUAGGACCAGGACUUGGUUUGGAUUCUUUGCUUGAUUAAGGAAUUUAUGCAGAAAGGGAUUUCCUUACCAUUGGCUUCACUGAGAAUUCUUUGGAGCUGGUGAAAAAGGGGAUGGGAAUGGAAGGCCAGUUCAGGGAAGCAGCAUGGCCUAGUGGAAAGAUCAUGAGCCUAGAAUUCAGAGAAUCUGGACUCUAAUCCCAGCUCCGCCACUUGACUGCUGUGUGACCUAGAGCAAGUCACUUAUCUGUGAUCAGUUUAAUCAAAUAUAAAAUAGGGAUUCGAUGCCCAUUCUUCCUUAGACUUAUUUAGACUCUGAGCCCCAGAUGGAACAGGGACUGUGUCCAACUUGCCUUAGCUUGUACCUACCACAGUGCUUGGCACAUAGUAAGCACUUAGCUAAUACCACAAUUAGGAUUAUUAUCAUUAUUAUUAUUAUUACUCAUUUGGUGAAGUCUCAUCCCUGGCCCCUUAAUCCAUUUUUCUCUCUACCUCCACGAGUGCCCAAGGAUCAGGAACCCAGAGACAGAAUUUGGUCAAACCUGCCCAGGCCACUGCCUCACCAUCCCAAGAGCUACAGCAGUGCUGCUGUACUGGGUACCCUGAGCCUUGAGGACUCAAAAGCAGGCAAAUACCAGUGGUCAACCCAUCCCACUGACAAAAAGUCACUCAACAGAUAGAGGAAGGUGGAAGAGUUCACCCAGCACCAAAACCCACAGAUCCCUGAGAAUUGGAGAAGCAGCGUGGCUCAGUGGAAAGAGCAUGGGCUUUGGAGUCAGGGCUCAUGAGUUCGAAUCCCAGCUCUGCCACUUGUCGGCUGUGUGACUGUGGGCAAGUCACUUAACUUCUCUGGGCCUCAGUUCCCUCAUCUGUAAAAUGGGGAUGAAGACUGUGAGCCCCACGUGGAACAACCUGAUUCCCCUAUGUCUACCCCAGCGCUUAGAACAGUGCUCGGCACAUAGUAAGCGCUUAACAAAUACCAACAUUAUUAUUAUAAGUGGGAUUCCACUUAAUUAUUAGUCAUUUCAUUAUUAGCCAUCACCACCUAGGUGAUCAGAACAGACUGCUCUAACAUGGAGAGCUAUUUUUUAGCUAUUUUCUGCUGAUUGGUUGCAAUUCCAGUGAUCUGAUCUGUGCACAGGAUAAUACUAAUAAUAAUGAUGGUAUUUGUUAAGAGCUUACUAUGCGCAUAGCACUGUUCUAAGCUCUGGGGUAGAUGAUGUGAAUGGAAGAGAUAGUCAGAGGGGAUGCAGGAUCACACAAUUUGCCCAGGUUCUUGAAAGUGAACCCUGUGGGGCAACUGGCAUUUAACCGAAAUCCGGAGUAUAGAUUUCAAUUCAGGUCAUCAAAACUCCCACCUUCUUGAUAAAGCCCGCCAGCUUUCCUGACUUUCUCCAGAGGGCCCACCCUGAAGUCACAGAUAAUAAUAAUAAUAAUAAUAAUAAUAAUAAUAAUGGUAUUUGUAAGAGCUUACCACAUGUCAGGCACUGUGCUAAGCGCUGGGGUAGAUACAAGCAAAUCGGGUUGGACUCAGUCUCUGUCCUACGUGGGGUUCACAUCUCAAUCCCCAUUUUACAGAUUGGGUAACUGAAGCACAGAGAAGUCAAGUGAUUCGCCCAAGGUCACACAGCAGACAAGUCAUGGAGCCGGAAUUAGAACCCAUGACUUUUUGACUCCCAGGCACAUGCUCUGUUUGAACAAUAGAACAUGAUAGAGGUGUCUUCUCUAAGGAAGCAGAGUUGGCUUGCUUAACCUUGCAGGCAGGGCUUCUGUUUUGGGUGCUCUGGUCCCUCUGUUAGUAGAAAUGUUUUCUAUAGGAAAAACAGCUUCUCAGAACCCAAACCCAUUAGAUCCAACUCCCAAGUUUACCAGUUACACCAAGUUCUUCUAUAAUGUGGGAGGCAAGUUCUUACAAAACCCCACAUUAUUCCUUAUUUGUAAAAUGGAGAUAAAAUGCCUCUUCUCCCUCCCUUUUAAAAAUAUGAAUCCCGUGUGGGAUAGAAGACUGUGGAGGAUCUGAUUACCUUAUACCUAGCCCUGUGGUUUAGCACAGGGAUUGGCACAUGGUAACCAGGUGAUAAAUACCGUCAUUAUCACUGCUGCAUUUCCUCCAAAAUUCCCCCUUCUCCCAGUUGAGCAGCCUCGAGGGGCAAACUGAGAAAGGCCGGCAGGGAACCUGAGCUCAGAGAGGCUGGAACCUUGAAAAGUAAAGCCUGGGCCAGCUCCUGCUUCAUUCUUUCUUCUCCUCCUGAGAGUCCUUGUCUCUCCUGCUCUUUCUUUUAUCUCCAACUCCUUCUCCAAAACGGGGAUGGUAGACUACCCCUUGCGAGUGCCACUAGAGAGGAGAGCUGUGAACUUUACGUGCUUCCGACUGAGGCAUGAGAAUGUCAAAUCUGCCGAGAAGCAGGCCAAACGGUUCAAGUGAAAAGCUGCCAGAGGUGCUUAGGCUGAGAGGAGGGGGUAAAAGGAUGUGGAGAGGAGGGAGGGAACCUCUGAGAAAGCAUGUAGGAACAGCCCCAGAUAUUUCUCGUUCUGUAAAACACUGGAAAUUGCAGCCCAGUGUCGUUUUCCCAGGUGAUUUACUAAACUCUUAAAUCCAGGGGUUCAAACAGAUCUUCACAACAAUUCAGCUACUGAGCCUUCAUUUGAUGCCAUCUCCUUCCAACUCCUUCCAAUUAUCCCAGCAUCAAGAGAAUUACGAGGGGCCCCUCAACCAGACAGCUAUAAAAGAGCUGACCCAGCCUCUCGUAUUAUAUUUGUAUAAUAUACAUAUAAAUAUAUCUGUUAUGUAUAUUUAUAUAUGUGUUUAUAAUAACACCUUUGCAGUCCCAGAGAUCCUUUCUCUGGGGAGCUCAAGGCAUUUUACAGAGAUCAUCUUACUUAUCCUCAUAAUAUCCCUCUACAGGAGCUAGAAGGAAAUCAUCUGUAUCCCAUUUGACAGAUGAGGAAACUAAGGCUCGGGGUUGCCCAAGGUCACUAAGUUGUAAAGAACGUCCGAAGAACAUCCACCUCCUCCUCAUCAUCAUCAGUACUGACUAAGCAAUUACGGAGUGCAGAGGAUUGUAUGAAGUGCUUGGAAAUAUACACUAAAAGUAAGAGACCCAGCUCCUCCCUUCAAAGAGCUACUGCCUCCCAGGUCUUCCUUGUUUCUUGCUGGAGUCAUGUCUUGGGCUCUGCCAGGAGUGGGUGCAGGGAGUGGAGAGGGAAUGGAGAAAGGAAGUAGCAGCAUGGUCUAGUGGAAAAAACACAGGCCUUGGGGUUAGAGGACCUGGGCUCUUAUCCCAGCUCUGCCACUUGCCUUCUGGGUGACUUUGGGUAAAUCACUUAACUUCUCUGAGCCUCAGUUUCCUCAUUCCUAAAAGGGGGAUUCAAUAGCAAUUUCCCUUCCUUUUUAGACCAUGAGCCCUAUGGAAAACAGGAAUUGCUGCCAACGUAAUGAUUUUGAACCUAUCCCAGUGCUUGGUACAUCACUUUGUAAAUAGCAAGCGCUUUUUUAAAAUGGGUAUUCAUUCAUUCAAUAGUAUUUAUUGAGCGCUUACUAUGUGCAGAGCACUGUACUAAGCGCUUGGAAUGAACAAGUCGGCAACAGAUUCGCUAAGUGCCUACUAAGUUCCAGGCACUGAAAUAAGCACUGGGAUAGAUAGAUACAAGAUAACCUGGUUGGAUACAGUCCAAUAAU
Molecule: long non-coding RNA, 3797 nt
Filed under: Ornithorhynchus anatinus (platypus)
Lineage: Eukaryota; Metazoa; Chordata; Mammalia; Monotremata; Ornithorhynchidae
Description: lncRNA (ENSOANG00000049862.1)
Source: RNAcentral